ACGAAUGCAGAACAGGUUUCAUGCUAUUAAAUUCCAUCCUACAAUUAAACAUAUACUGAGGCUACCAUGCAUAAACUCGUGUACUAUUAACCUUAUUCCCAGAAUAAUUCGAGACCUAUGGCUAAACAACAACACAAUUCUCAAACAAAGAAAGCAUCGACUAACAUGAGCCUUAGUUGAACAUUUUUUGUUUCAAAUCUAUGCUGGUCACUUUGGCAAACUCAAUCGACAGUCAAUCCCAAAAUAAAUGCUAAUUUCAUCUUGACUAAAAUAGAUCUAAACAUAUGUGAAUCGAUUAAACAUUCUAAUGCCACAAUUCCCAAAAACCCCAUAUACAUUCAAAAAAUGCUUCAAUACCUCACAUUCCAAACUACUGGAUUGGAAUAAGUGUUGAAGUUUACAUAUCAAAUUUAAUCUCGUAACAUUGUAUCUAAUAACACAAAAAGAGCAAAUCAUAUAUGAGAAAGAACAAACUUAAUACAUAUUUGAUUGAAUUCCAGCUACAAAAGAUAAACUGAUCAAACAUAUAAACCCCAAAGCUUCCAACUCAAACAACAACAUCAAGUCUUUCAUUUCACCAUGCCAAAUGAGGUUCAGUAAAUACAUGGUUACAACAAAUAAACAAGGAAAUUAUGAGGUUAAGAAAGAGCAGCAGCACUAAAACAACAAAAAUGGAACCAAACAGCAGUGAUUUCAGACAAGACCAAGCAGCAAAAACAGCUUUCAAACCAUUUCAUGAUUCCCAAAUGAGUUAGAGACCUUUUGAAAGUUCUAAUUCUAGAAGUUCAAAAACCCAAACCAGAACUAAAUUGAAUAAGGAAAUACAGAAAAUUUAGUGUUGUUCUUCAUCCGUUUGCCUUUUUUUCUUUUAUUUCUGGCUUGUGGGUAAAGAAAGAGUUCCUUUAUAGGCAAUCCCUAGGGCAGCAUAAAAUGGAUUCAGUUUUGCAUAUUAGUCCUUUUAGAAUUUUUAUUUUUGCUCUCAUGUCCUUAAGUUAAAAUUAG
This 1002-nucleotide long non-coding RNA is filed under the name Nicotiana benthamiana. RNAcentral describes it as "long non-coding RNA (NBEN_LNC042281)". Lineage: Eukaryota; Viridiplantae; Streptophyta; Magnoliopsida; Solanales; Solanaceae. The record is from RNAcentral.